AGAAAUAAUUUUAAUGAACUUCUAAUUCACUCUACUAUGAUAUUCUAUCAUAUUAUUUCU
RNAcentral lists this transfer RNA (60 nucleotides) under Pheidole fervens. Its description in RNAcentral is "tRNA-Ser". Lineage: Eukaryota; Metazoa; Arthropoda; Insecta; Hymenoptera; Formicidae. The record is from RNAcentral.